CCCAUCUCUAGUACUGACAAGCCAAUAAAAUCUAAAUUUCACAUUGAUGGCACUACUCCAGCUGCAUUUCCUCCUCCUCGUCGGCUCUUGACUGAGGAGAUCCCUCAGAUUGUCGAGGACUAUAGAAUUGCUGCAAGAAAUGCUAUAGAAGCAGGUUUCGAUGGAGUGGAGAUUCAUGGAGCCAACGGGUACCUAAUUGAUCAAUUCUUGAAAGAUAAGGUAAAUGAUAGGACAGAC
Molecule: unclassified non-coding RNA, 237 nt
Filed under: Hevea brasiliensis (rubber tree)
Lineage: Eukaryota; Viridiplantae; Streptophyta; Magnoliopsida; Malpighiales; Euphorbiaceae
Source: RNAcentral